AUCAUUUACAUCAAUUACCUGUAAAUCUGACCCCAUCAAUCUUUUUUGAUUUUGUCUAUUUGGGUUCAGAAGCAUGAAGAACUUCUGCACAAGAAAUCCAGUUGAUUUAGUCACAUGCUGAGACAGUUACAAGGGCAGAUCCCAGAUGAGGAAAACUCUACAAGACAGGAAGCCUGAAAAAUGAUGCUGGAUCCAUUUCUGAGGAAAAGCAUUUAGGAGUUGUGGAAUCAAUCAAGUGAAAUCACACUAGGAGCCGAGGUCUGAUCAUUACCAUUGCCUUUCUUCAAUGACCCAGGAGUAGUAGAAUAUGGAGGUCUUCUCUUAUGAGAAAUUCUACAUAGAAACUUUCCAUAGAUCUAAGGUACUUUUAAUGCACUAAAAAAAUACAUGGGCACAUUUUAUUCCUCCAGAAAAUGAAUCCAUAAGUUGUUGCUGACUUUAGCUGACCUUCAUGCAAGUGUUUCAUGAUCAGUAUGGAAUGUGGGAUGUCUCUGUCUGUAAAAUGUUUUGUUUGAAAAUAUAGUCCAAUAACAUUGAUUUAUGGUGAUGUCUGCUCUCUAAACCCUUAUGGAUACUGCAUUUAGAAUGAAUGAAAUAGUGACAGUUCAUCACUCUGUGUGAGGUGAGCAGACUUGAAGCGUGAAUCGCACUUAUA
This 655-nucleotide long non-coding RNA is filed under the name Zonotrichia albicollis (white-throated sparrow). RNAcentral describes it as "lncRNA (ENSZALG00000007448.1)". Lineage: Eukaryota; Metazoa; Chordata; Aves; Passeriformes; Passerellidae. The record is from RNAcentral.